Non-coding RNA from Taeniopygia guttata (zebra finch), 627 nucleotides. The record is from RefSeq and is a predicted model, not a curated record. NCBI's taxonomy places the organism in Eukaryota, Metazoa, Chordata, Aves, Passeriformes, Estrildidae.
AUGCUCGGCCUGAGAUAGAAAACCCUUUCAUCAAAUGCACUUAGAGCUUAUCUAGAGAAAGCAUAAUGACUUGAGAAGCUGCUCGGCUCAGCUCUGACUGCAGCCUGAGGACCAACAGAGCACCUUCUGCCACCUUCCAGAAUGUGGAAGAGUACCUGGAUCAGAAGAGCAAGUGCCUCUACUGAUUUCCACAGCACUUUUCCUCUUGGAUUGUAAAUUCUUCAAGACAGAGACAAUCUCUUGGGAUUUGUUUAUACAGAGUUUAUACAUCAGUCCCAGGGAUUACUGCAAGGAGAAUAAUCUUUAAUGACUACAAAUCCUGCGACCCCUGUUUUAGAAAUCCUCUAAUGUGUGUCAAAUAGAUGUUCAAAGAGAGGCUCCAAACGAAUUACAAUGUCUAAGAUACCACAACAGUUCACCACGCCAGUUGCUGUCCAUUAAAUCCAGCUAGGAAUCAAAUCCCUGCAUUCUUGGCUGUAACUUAUUCUCUCAAGCAGACUGGCAAAUGAGUUUCAGUGUGGCUAGGAGCACUGUGCCUUUCCUCCCACAGGCUCACACUUGACAGAGAAUUAAGAGAAGUCACUUCUCUUUUUGCUGCAUUAAAAUUAAUCCGACAAAAACCUAACA